CAGGCCGCUGCCACGCCACCUCUCCCUAGGACGCCGUUGUGCCCCUGGCCGACGCCGCCUCCUACUACACCCCUCCGCCGCCGGCCAUCAUGCCUGACAGAUCGCCAGGCCGACCCCACCUUCCUCCGCCCUGGCUACCAACCCCCCACCCCCGCGAUGCCCCGUUGCUGGAUCGGUCCCCCUCUCCAUCCCCUGCUAGCCCACGACGGCCUCCCCUGCCACGAGAACCAACCCUUGGCGCCUCCUCCCAUGGCGGUCGCCCCGACCUCAUCGAUGAGGCGGGCUGACAGCGACCUCCCUCGUUCUCGUCUCCCGUCGUUGUCGCUGCGACAGAACUGUUGUUGUGGGCGCCGGCAAUGGCAGCAGCAAAAUUCGAUCGAGGCCCAUGGCUCCUCCGGCCGGGAGUUCGCAGUUCAGUUUCAAAGUGUUUUGGAUAGUUUUCGGUUCAGGGCUUCUUCUGUGUGGUUCCUUGCUUUUUCUUUGAAAUUUUUGUGUCUGAUCCAGAACUUCACCUCCGCGUUGAGUCCAGAAUUGCAGUAUAGUGCAUAGUACAAAGGAGUUUACUUUGUAAAAUAUUGUACAAAGGAGUUCACUUUUUAUUAUUUUUGGAGGAAUUUUUUUGCAAAUUUGUAAGGACAUGGUGUAUAAUUUGUUAAAAUCGAUGCAGCUCACUAAGGAAACCUUUGUGGUGCACUUUGCAAAACAAAGGUGUCCACUUGUAAAAAAAUGUA
This is a long non-coding RNA of Triticum urartu, 731 nucleotides long. RefSeq lists it as uncharacterized. The record is from RefSeq and is a predicted model, not a curated record. NCBI's taxonomy places the organism in Eukaryota, Viridiplantae, Streptophyta, Magnoliopsida, Poales, Poaceae.